Molecule: ribosomal RNA, 253 nt
Filed under: uncultured bacterium
Lineage: Bacteria
Description: partial 16S ribosomal RNA
Rfam family: Bacterial small subunit ribosomal RNA
Source: RNAcentral
GACGAACCGUCCAACCGUUGUUCGGAAUCACUGGGCUUAAAGGGCGCGUAGGCGGGUUCCCAAGUCAGGGGUGAAAUCUUUCGGCUCAACCGGAAAAGGGCCUCUGAUACUGGGAACCUCGAGGGGGGUAGGGGUCGAUGGAACUGGUGGUGGAGCGGUGAAAUUCGUAGAUAUUCGCAAGAACACCAGUGGCGAAGGCGGUCUCCUGGAGCAGACUUGACGCUGAGGCGCGAAAGCUGGGGGAGCGAACGGG